AAGCGCUUGCAAUCAGACUUGCACUUGGUGUUCAUCAGGGUCUCGUACCCUGUGUACUUCAUCAAGUUCAGGCCAGCAUCAGUUUGAGUGGUUAGAUAAAGGCUUAGAGAAUGUGGCCCUCUUCGGGGGUGUUAUAGCUCUAGGUGCAAUGUAGCCUACUUGGACUGAGGACCGCGCUUCGGCUAGGAUGCUGGCGUAAUGGUUGUAAGCGA
This 212-nucleotide ribosomal RNA is filed under the name Botrytis cinerea. RNAcentral's name for it is "partial large subunit ribosomal RNA". The record is from RNAcentral. Lineage: Eukaryota; Fungi; Ascomycota; Leotiomycetes; Helotiales; Sclerotiniaceae.